RNAcentral lists this long non-coding RNA (9646 nucleotides) under Lathyrus oleraceus (garden pea). RNAcentral describes it as "Pisum sativum (pea) long non-coding RNA (PSAT_LNC034751)". The record is from RNAcentral. Lineage: Eukaryota; Viridiplantae; Streptophyta; Magnoliopsida; Fabales; Fabaceae.
ACAAAUCCCUAUUUCCCGCGCACUGCCUCCACUGCGAUUGCUGGCUAUCACCAUCUUAAUCUGCGUCGGCUGUGUUGUCACCGCCGCGACGGAACCUACGAUUACCACUGCGACCUGCGGCGGCGGAUCUGCGAGACCACUGCAAUCCGUUGCGCAGAAACUUUUCCUGCUCGUGACUGACUCAAAGGCGCCAAAAAAACUGUUUGAAGGUAAACACUGUGUUUGUUCUUAUUUGAAUUUGUAUGAAUGUUUCUGGUUGUUAUCAUUGGGAAAUCCUACAUUCGAAUUUUGAAAAAUAUGAAAAAAAAUUGAAUUAUUCUGAGUUUGUGAUCUUUAUAUUUUGAGUUCUGAGUUUGAUAUAAUUAGAUUGUUUUGAACAUCUACAACUAUAUUUUGGCUUGGAUUGUUUAUGCUUAUUUUCCAAGUAUAAACUCUUAUAUGUUUACGUUAGCUUGUGAUCUAUUUCAUACAACCAAAAUCUCUGUAGCACCAACACCUUUGGAAAAAGGUGUGGCCGUGUCUGAAACCAAUAUCAAGACUUGUGAUUAUAUUUAAUUGAUUUAUUUUUUCAAAUUAUUAUCGGUGUCGACGUGCAACGUCGGUGUCGUGUUUUUGGGUGUCUGUGCUUCAUAGACCAAAAUUGAUAACUUAUUGAUAACUUAUGUGCUAGUGAUAAAAGAAAUCACUAAUGAUAAUUUUGAAGAAGAUUUGAUGUAAACAUUGUGAAGGAUACGUGUUUACAGAAUAAUAGGGAGAAUAUCUCUUAUUGAAUUGAACAAAAGAAAUGGCUCUUAAAUAGCCUUACAGAAACUGAAUCAGAGAAAAAAUAACCCACUCUAACAAACACUGAAAAAUGUGGGAUAGUGGCAAGAGAAUAGUAAAAGCAACAAUCCACUAACAGCACUAACAUUGCUAUUCUAACUGACAGUAAAUUAACGUUAAAUAAAAAACAAUUUUAACAUCCUCCUUAAACUGAAUGUUACUUAACAAUCAGUUUACUAUUGGCAGUUGACACACUCCCAAUAGGUUGCGCAAUUUCACAAAAGCAUCAAGUUUCAAAGGCUUUGUCAUCACAUCGGCCACUUGUUCUUGAGUAUUGCAGUGAACUAGUUCUAUAGUUUCAUCCUUAACGAGUUCACGAAGAAAAUGGAAUCGAACAUCGAUAUGUUUGCUACGACCGUGCAUUACAGGAUUCUUAGCAAGCUUGAUUGCUGAGUUGCUGUCGCAAUAAACAGUUGUUGAGCUGUUUGAGUAGUCCAAGCUUCUCCAAAAUCUUUCUCAACCAAACAGCCUGACAAGCACAAGUAGAUGCAGCUAUAAAUUCAGCUUCUGUAGUAGACAAAGAUACUACAGGCUGUUUUUUAGAUAACCAGGAUAUUGUAGCAGAGCUCAAUAGAAACACAUAUCCCGACGUGCUUUUUCUAUCAUCCAAGUCACCAGCAUAGUCACUAUCCGUGUACGCGACAGCUCUUCAUUUCCGCCCUUCUUGUAAACACACCAUAAUCAGCUGUCCCUCUUAAAUAUCUUAAAUUUUCGUUGCUGCUUGCAAAUGUAGUUUAGUAGGAUGCUCCAUGUACCUGCUUAUGAGACUAACAGCAAACAUAACAUUCGUCGAGUUGCCGUUAAGUACAUAAGAUUUCCUACAAUCUGCUUGUAGUAAGUACUAUCAAUCUUCAUGCCAUCUUGAUCUUUUGAAGUUUCUCUCCAGGAACCAUUGGAUUAAGAACAGAAUUACUUUUGUCCAUUCCAAAUCUUUCCAAUACUUCCAUCACAUAUUUUUUUGACUAAUGAAUAUGCCAUCACUCUUUUGCAUUACUUCAACACCUAAAAAAUACCUCAUUUUUCCCAAAUCGGUCAUAUCAAACUCAACCAUCAUGGAUUUUUUGAAUUCAACAUACAUUGACUCAUCAUUGCCAGUGAAUAUCAAAUCAUCAACAUACAAGCUUACAAUUAGAUUUUACCUCCAGCACUUGUCUUAACAAACAAAGUGUUUCAUGAGUGCAUUUUUCAAAGCCUUCCUUCAAAAAGUAUGAUUCUAUGCGACUGUACCAAGCUCGUGGAGCUUGCUUCAGUCCAUAAAGUGCUUUCUUUAACUUGUACACCUUAUGCUCAUUGUCCUUGAUUUCAUAUCCGCAAGGCUGUUCCACAAAAACUUCUUCAUUUAGUACACCGUGCAAGAAUGCGACUUACAUCCAACUGAUAAACGUCCAUCCCUUUGAGCAGCAAGUGCAAGCACUAGUCGAAUGGUAUCUAAUCUGCCACCGGUGCAAAGACUUCAUAUAAUCAACUCCAUAUUUUUGAGCAUAUCUUUUGCUACAAGUCGCGCUUUGGUUUUGUCAUUUCUCCAUUCUCAUUAAGCUUUGUUUUGAAUAUCCAUUUCACUCCAAUUUUCUUUCCACAACCGUAAAUUUGUCAACUCCCAAGUGUCAUUCUUCUCUAUUGACUCUAAUUCCAAAUUCAUGGCAUUUCUCCAUUUUUCACUCUUCACAGCUUCUUCAAAUGAAAUUGGAUCAGCACCUGCAAACAUGGCCAUGUUAGUCAUGUUUCUUCUUCUUCUGACAGUCCUUCUCCACUUUCAUAAUCCCUCAUCCAUGCAGGUCGUCGUAUUAUUCUUCUAUUUGAAUCUUGCCGACUCUCUUCAAUUGAAUCGUUGAAUCAGAGUGAUCAAGUUCUCCUUGUAUCUCUUCAUUGAUGCUUGUAUCAUUUCUGCACUUGCAGCAGAGGCAGACUCUCUUGUUCAUCUUCCCAAUCUAAAUUUUCUUUGAUGUUUUCCUCAUGUCUUUUAUUCCAGUCCCAACUUUUAUCUUCUUCAAAGACAACAUCUCUACUAACAAUAAUCUUAUGAGAAAUUGGAUCGUACAACCUGUAUGCCUUUGAUUCUUCACUUACUCCAAGUAAAACACAACUAGUACUUUUUCUGUCUAGCUUUGUUCUUUUCUGUCGGUACGUGAACAUGCGAAACACAUCCAAAGACUCUAAAGUACUCAACUGAUGGCUUUACAUCACUCCAAGCUCUUCAGGAUCUUGUUUUUCACAGCAACUGUUGGACAUCGGUUCAGCACAUGAACAGUCCAAUUUACAGCCUCGGGCCAAAAAUUCCUUGGAACUUUGUUCUCAUACAGCAUGCAACGAACCAUGUUCAUAAUGGUUUUGUUUUCCUCUCGGCUACACCAUUUUGUUGUGGUGUAUAUGCAGCCGUCAGUUGCCUAUUUAUACCAUUCUCCUUGCAAAAGUAUUAAAUGCUUGUGAUGUAAAUUCACCACCCCUGUCAGUACGCAAGCAUUUGAUGAAUAUACUUUUUCUUUCUCCACAUGAUUUUUAAAGCUUCUAAAAGUGUCAAAGCUUCAGAUUUUUCUACUAAAAAAUAUACCCAUGUUUUACGAAUAUAGUCAUCAAUGAAAGUAAUUAAGUACCUCUUUUUGCUAUUUGAGGCUGGUGUAAUAGGCCCGCAUAUGUCGCAUGUACAACUGUAGGAUUUGAGAUGCUCUCCACGUGCUCACUUUAGGAAAUGGAUCCCUCUGUGCUUUCCCGCAAGGCAGUCUUUACAAAUUUUAGAGGGAGUUUUGAUUUGUGCAGACCAUUCACCAUCCUUUUGCUCAAGUAUCCUUAAGCCUUUAAAGCCUAAUGUCCAAAUCUACAAUGCCAUAACUGAGUUGAGUCUUCAGUAAUUGUGUUGAAACAAGCCGAUACAUUUGACUGAGGCUUAACCGGCAAAAUGAACAUUCUGUUUGAGGACAUUGUUGUUUCCAUGAUCAAGCCCUUCUCCUUAUGAUAGAUCUUGCAUUUUCCAUGUUGAAAAAUGAUAGUUAACCUUUUCUUGUAGCUGACCAAUGCUCAACAAGUUGUUCUUUAGCUCAGGUACAUAGACACACUAGUAAUGAUAUGUGAGAUUCCAUUCAAUUGAAAUCUUACAUUUCCUUUUCCUUUCACAGCCAUGCUGGAAUUAUUUCCAACUUCACAGUUUCACUAAAAUUUCAUCCAAAUCAGAGAAUACUUCCUUCUUACCACACAUAUGUACUACACCCUGAGUCAAUGAACCAUGCUUCUUCCUUAUCUGAUCUUUAUUUUCCAUGGAUGCCAUCAAAAGCAUUUCAUCUUGAAAUUCUGCAUAAUUGACUUCACUCUCCUUGCUUGGACAUUCAUAUUGAAAAUGUCCAAGUUUAUGGCAGUAAUAACACCACAGUGGACUUGUCAAAAUUUGGCAUGCCCCUUCCUCCUCCUCGUCCGCGAAAUCCUCCACGACCACGACCGCGACCUCUUGUUUCUGCUUUCAUAGGUUACUUUCAAGGCUUGCUCUUCAAAUAAUAGGAACAUUCAUGCGUUGCUCAUGCACCAGCAAGCUACUUUGUAGUUGGCGCGACUGAUAAGGCGUCAAUGUCAUUUGACUCCUCAAUGGAGCAAACCACAUAGUUGAAUUUCGGAGUCAUGGACCGCAAAUUUUUUCAAUAACAACAACAUCUCCCAUAGUCUCUCCAUGAGUUCUCAUCUUGUUGGCUAUGGUGAGGGUUCGAGAAAAGUACUCGUUCACCGAUUCUCCAGCUUUCAUCUGCAAGAUUUCAAAUUCCCUUCGAAGUGCUUGUAGUUGUGCUCGUUUAACCCUUGCCGUUCCUUGAUACUUCUGCUUCAUUGAGUCCCAAAUGUUCUUUGACGUUUCUUUCUUCAAGAUUGUCUCCAAGAUAGAUCUAUCAAUUGCUUGAAAAAGAUAAUUUUUACUUUAAAUCCUUGAGUUUCUGAUCUUCAACAGUUUUUCUUUGUGCCUCAGUUGAUUCUGUACCCCAACUGCUGUAGGAUCCCAUUUUCAACCAAGCUCCAGUUUCUUGGAUCGAAGGAAGUUCUCCAUGAGCAUUGCCAAUGUCAUAGUGACCAUCAAACUUUGGAAUUGAUGGUUGAACAAAACUGCUGUUUUCUGUCUGCUUGAAAAGACUGCCGCGUUUCAAGUAUUGAUCAGGCCCCUUCUAGAGGAGCUCUGAUACCAAUUGUGAAGGAUACGUGUUUACAGAAUAAUAGGGAGAAUAUCUCUUAUUGAAUUGAACAAAGAAAUGGCUCUUAAAUAGCCUUACAGAAACUGAAUCAGAGAAAAAAUAGUCCACUCUAACAAACACUAAAAAUGGUGAUAGUGGCAAGAGAAUUAAGGGGUUAAAGAGCAACAACUCACUAACAGCACUAACAUUGCUUAUUCUAACUGACAGUAAAUUAACGUUAAAUAAAAAACAAUUUUAACAAACAUCAGUAAUCAUAGGAGAAAUAAAAUUUUACACCAAGUUGUUAGGAAACAUGCUACUUCAAUUGUUCUACAUCCAUAGGUAAUUACUUAUAGACGCAUUUAACCAAAAUUGAUAUUAACCAUAUAUCAAUAUAACUUCCAAACAAGAGGUAGAACGAGACUUAUCUUUAUGUAAGUGUCAUCUCCUUAACUCACUUUAUUUUCAAGGUACAACUAUAUUGCUAUAUAAUAAUCAACAUAGGAAUUGGGCUUAUGUUUGAGAAACCACCAAUUUUAAUGAUUGUUUUCAUGGAGAAUCAACAAUUGUGUUGGUUGGUCUUCUUUGUAAACUCACCAAAGAGUAAUAAGCUCCACUUGGUCCCUUAGCCAACAAAGAUGAAUGUGUUCCUUUCUCAACGACACUUCCCUUAUCCAAAACAGCAAUCAAAUCACAGUUUUGUAUAGUACUCAACCUAUGAGCCACAACCACACUUGUCCUUCCAACCAUAACCCUUUCUAAAGCAUCUUGCACUAAUUUCUCUGAUUGACUAUCAAGUGCACUUGUUGCUUCAUCCAAAAGUAAUACCUCUGGAUUCUUCAAUAUAGCUCUAGCUAUCGCAAUUCUUUGUUUUUGACCACCACUAAGUUGAACACCUCUGUCACCACACAAUGUCUCAUAACCAUCUUUUAAGCUUGAUAUGAAAUCAUGAGCAUUUGCAGCCUUUGCAGCCUCAAUGAUCUCACUCUCAUCAACUUUAUCAUCAUAUGCUCCAUAUGCUAUAUUGUCCCUUAUGGUACCACCAAACAAUGUUGGUUCUUGACUCACAAGUGCAAUGUGUUUCCUUAAUGAUCUUAGAUUAUAAGACUUUAUGUCUCUACCAUCUAUUGUCACCGUCCCUUCAAAAGGAUCGUAGAAUCUCUCAAUUAGUCCUAUGAUUGUUGAUUUUCCUGAACCACUUUCCCCGACCAAAGCUGUUGAUUUUCCAGCGUCAAUUUUAAUCGAGAAUCCUUGAAAGAUCAUCACAUUAGGUCUAGCCGGAUAUGCAAAAUGCACAUCAUGAAAUUCAAUUUUUCCUAUUAAUUUUUCAACCUUGUAACCUUCUAAAUCAUUUGGCUCAAUUUUUGUAUACCUAUCGAGGACGGCGAAAACCGAUCCAACGGCACUAGAACCUUUAGCAAAAUCAUUGGUCAUACUACUAGCAGCAUCAGCAAUAACUUUUCCAGUGCUUAUCCAAAUCAUAGUGGUCUCAAAAAAUGCAUUCUUUGUUAUAUAUCCUUGCGACACAAGUUUUCCUCCAUACCAAAAGUUUAAGGCUCUAGUGCAAAAAAUGAGGCUUUGUGAACAUGCAAGCCCAAUACCUGCAAACCAUGAUUGUCUAAUAUUUUCAUGACUCGGGCCUUGUUGGGAUUUUUCAAGCAUUUUAAGGAUUCUAUUUUGUGAUGAAAAAGAUGUGAUGGUUCUUAGAUUUGAAACAGCUUCAGCGGCUAUUUUGCUACUUUCAUCUUGGGCCUUAAUGGCUUUGCUUGACAUGUUAUUAAGAAGGACACGCCUUAUGUAGAAACAAAUUAUGGUAAUUGGCUGAACUGCUAUCAUAACAAUGGAUAGUCUCCAAGUAAUGAUUAGGCCCAUUGCGAAUGUUACUGCCACUGCUGAUAUAGUUUGUAUUAUUACUGACAAUCUAUCCCCCACCAACGACCUUACCUGUAUUAUUAAUUUGAAAAGAAAAUUAAAACAUUUUAUGUUUGUCUUCUUAAUAUAUAGUUUUUAUAUCAUAUAUUAUAUAUCUCUAACAUAACAUGCAAUUUUUUAAAAAUGAUUGAGAACAUACCACAUUGGCUUCUUUGGCAAGUCUAGAGCAAACAGCACCUGUAGAAUUUUGAUCCUCAUCAAACCAACCAACUUCAAAAGUGAGUAUCUUGGAAAGCAUUCUUUCUCUAACCCUUUUAGUCAAGUACUCUCCCAUGUAAGCAAAGCUAUAAUGUUGAAGCACAUUAAAAAGCAUUGUGGACAAAGCCAACCCUAGAAAACAAAAUGCAUAGAUCCUAAUUUGUUUCUUGAUCUCAUCAUGGUCCUCCAGAAAAUAAACUGAUGCAAGUGACCCUGUUGCAAAUGCUGACACAGGUUGAACCGCACUAAAUAAAACCGCGUUCAAACACCCCAAACAGACUUGCUUCCAUUCUGGAAGAUUCAUUGCCAACAACCUUCGAAACGAAGGAACCUCUACCUUCUCCUUCUUCUUCCUCUCCUUCUCGUCCUCAUUAUUAUUAUUAUUAUUAUUAUUAUUAUUAUUAUUAUCAUUAUUAUUAUUAUUAUUAUUAUCAUCAAAUACCACAACAUUAUUAGCGAUAUCUCCAACGACAUUUUUAUCAUUAACAAUAUCACCACCACGACCACGUGUCAUUGAGUCGAAAGAGCUAGAGUGAGUCGCGAGUCUAUAACUACUCGUGUUUUGCAUGUGAUCUAUAUUAGUGGUAGGUGGAGUAUCGUCGUUUUGGUCAUUUUUGGUUUGUUGGAGACGUAUGAGGGAAGUAUAAAGAGAACUGUCAUUUUGAAUGAGGCUCCCGUGAGAUCCCGUUUCCACGAUCUUACCAUUUUGAACGAAUGCAAUGAUGUCUGCAUUUUGGAUGGUGGAUAAGCGGUGAGCGAUGAUGAUGGUGGUGCGUCCAACCACGGCUUUGUCUAGAGCUUGUUGGACAACUCGCUCGGAUUCAGAAUCGAGUGCACUUGUUGCUUCGUCUAGCAAUAGAAUUCUUGGCUUUUUUAUUAUAGCUCUUGCAAUGGCAAUCCUUUGCUUUUGUCCUCCUGACAUUUGUAUUCCCCUCUCCCCAACCUGUUGUAGUAAAGCAUACAAUUAACAUCUUAGGUUUAACCUAACAUUAUUCUCUAAUUUAGUGGAAUUAGUUUGAUUCAUGCAAUUUGAAAGAGAAAGAUAAGGUGCUUCAUGUAGGUGGACCACCAUAUUAGUGGGUUUUUUAUUUUAUGAAAUUAUUGUAACAGAUUUCACAUGAUUAGAAUAACAUUAAAACAGAAUUAUUCAUGUUCUCCAUGAUAUCUUUGUCAUUGAUUCUGUUAGCAAUAUCUAAUAUACUAUAAGGAAUAUAAACUAUUGUUUAAGUAAUUGAAAACAAAUUUUAAGUGAGAAUGUCUAAAAACCAUUUUGGGUUAUUAUAUAGUGGCAUAUUAUCAUUAUUGGAGUAGACACAUGAUUGAACAACACGUUUCUACUUGUUUGUGCUGAUUAAGUUGCUUAAAGUGGAUGAAUAUGAUAUGAAGCACUUACCAAAAGUUGAACAUUACGUGAUAAUAUUUGAAUAAUCAUGUUAUCUAUAGCCAUCUUGUUUGUGUUGAUUAAGUUGGUUAAAGUGGAGAAAUGAUAGCACUUACCAAAAGUUGAACAUUAAUAAUAUUUGAAUAAUCAUGUUAUCUAUAUGCAUAAUAUUUUUGGCUUAAAUGCAUUUAUUCCCCCUAUUUACUUGAAAUUAGAUUUUAGUCCCCUGAUAGUAGUAAGUCGUAAACUUUAGUUCUUCAAGUUUCACAAAUUUUAGAGUUUUUCUUCACAACCUAAUUUUGGACUUACUUUUCAUGACAUGUCGUUUUUUUUAGUGAGAAAUUAUACUUGAUGAUGUUAUAUUGCUAAUUUGGACUGAAAAAUCCUAUUACAACCUUUUUAUUUUACAGUUUGAUUGAUCAAAUAUAAACUAAUUAUUUUGAAAUUAAUUGGUUUCUGAUCCAAAUCAGUAGUGUUAGAUGAUCAAAUACACUUCCACACUAGGUUGUUGAUAGCGAGCUAUAGCGGCAUAGUGCAGCAGUACAGGACCUCGGCACCACACUUUUGGGCUGCUAACCACUAUCCGCGAUAGUGGAAAUAGCAGUCGCUAUUUGUGGAGUCAUGGCGGCACAAUAGCAGCACAAUAGUGAUUUUGUAGCGGUUUAUAGACCGCCAUUGUGAAGAUGAGGGCAAUAUUGUAAGUUUGAGUAUUUUUAACAGCAAAUUGGUAUUUUUUUCCCUUUUAUUUGCCUAAUAUAAAAGCUGUUGGUGGUGUUUUAGGUCAUUUCCAGUUCUCUCUUCACUCAAAUCAGCAAGCAGUGGUUCUUUUGACUUAAAAGUUUAUAGUUCUCUCUCUUCACAAAUUUUCUUCUUCCACAUUCUUCUCAAAUCAGGAAGCAUCCAUCUUUCUCAUCCAUUUUUCUUCUCAAAUCAGAAAGCAUCCAUCUUUCUCAUCUUUUGACAUAGGGUGACAAUAUUUGUUUAUGUUUGUUUACAUUUAGAAUAUUGUUUAGUCAUUUUGAGUUCAUUUAUAAUUUGAUUUUGACGGGAAUUUUAUUGUGGUGCUGUUGGAAUGUAUGCAUGUUGUUACUUCUGUUAUUAAGGCAUUAUAUAUGUUGUUGGAAUUUAUUUUAAAUAUUUAUAUAUUAAUGUUAAAUAUUUACCUUAGUUUUUA